Molecule: ribosomal RNA, 465 nt
Filed under: Vreelandella stevensii
Lineage: Bacteria; Pseudomonadati; Pseudomonadota; Gammaproteobacteria; Oceanospirillales; Halomonadaceae
Description: partial 16S ribosomal RNA
Rfam family: Bacterial small subunit ribosomal RNA
Source: RNAcentral
CCUACGGGGGGCUUCAGUGGGGAAUAUUGGACAAUGGGGGCAACCCUGAUCCAGCCAUGCCGCGUGUGUGAAGAAGGCCCUCGGGUUGUAAAGCACUUUCAGUGAGGAAGAACGCCUGGUGGUUAAUACCCAUCAGGAAAGACAUCACUCACAGAAGAAGCACCGGCUAACUCCGUGCCAGCAGCCGCGGUAAUACGGAGGGUGCGAGCGUUAAUCGGAAUUACUGGGCGUAAAGCGCGCGUAGGUGGCUUGAUAAGCCGGUUGUGAAAGCCCCGGGCUCAACCUGGGAACGGCAUCCGGAACUGUCAAGCUAGAGUGCAGGAGAGGAAGGUAGAAUUCCCGGUGUAGCGGUGAAAUGCGUAGAGAUCGGGAGGAAUACCAGUGGCGAAGGCGGCCUUCUGGACUGACACUGACACUGAGGUGCGAAAGCGUUGGUAGCAAACAGGAUUAGAUACCCCAGUAGUC